This is a non-coding RNA of Firmicutes bacterium ML8_F2, 74 nucleotides long. The record is from Rfam. NCBI's taxonomy places the organism in Bacteria, Bacillati, Bacillota.
CGCGGGGUGGAGCAGUCUGGUAGCUCGUCGGGCUCAUAACCCGGAGGUCGCAGGUUCAAAUCCUGCCCCCGCAA